UACAGAGGGUGCGAGCGUUAAUCGGAAUUACUGGGCGUAAAGGGUGCGUAGGCGGAAAUUUAAGUCAGGCGUGAAAUACUCGAGCUUAACUUGGGUACUGCGUUUGAUACUGAAUAUCUAGAGUACAGUAGAGGGAAGUGGAAUUUCCAGUGUAGCGGUGAAAUGCGUAGAUAUUGGAAGGAACACCAGUGGCGAAGGCGACUUUCUGGACUGAUACUGACGCUGAGGCACGAAAGCGUGGGGAGCAAACAGG
RNAcentral lists this ribosomal RNA (253 nucleotides) under uncultured bacterium. RNAcentral's name for it is "partial 16S ribosomal RNA". It matches the Rfam family "Bacterial small subunit ribosomal RNA", at positions 524 to 776 of the family's 1533-position model. The record is from RNAcentral.